GACGAACGCUGGCGGCGUGCCUAAUACAUGCAAGUCGAACGCUGAAGGAGGAGCUUGCUCUUCUGGAUGAGUUGCGAACGGGUGAGUAACGCGUAGGUAACCUGCCUGGUAGCGGGGGAUAACUAUUGGAAACGAUAGCUAAUACCGCAUAAGAGUAGAUGUUGCAUGACAUUUACUUAAAAGGUGCAAUUGCAUCACUACCAGAUGGACCUGCGUUGUAUUAGCUAGUUGGUGGGGUAACGGCUUACCAAGGCGACGAUACAUAGCCGACCUGAGAGGGUGAUCGGCCACACUGGGACUGAGACACGGCCCAGACUCCUACGGGAGGCAGCAGUAGGGAAUCUUCGGCAAUGGACGGAAGUCUGACCGAGCAACGCCGCGGGAGUGAAGAAGGUUGUCGGAUCGUAAAGCUCUGUUGUAAGAGAAGAACGAGUGUGAGAGUGGAAAGUUCACACUGUGACGGUAGCUUACCAGAAAGGGACGGCUAACUACGUG
This 495-nucleotide ribosomal RNA is filed under the name uncultured bacterium. RNAcentral describes it as "partial 16S ribosomal RNA". It matches the Rfam family "Bacterial small subunit ribosomal RNA", at positions 28 to 507 of the family's 1533-position model. The record is from RNAcentral.